AACGAACGCUGGCGGCAUGCCUAACACAUGCAAGUCGAACGAGACCUUCGGGUCUAGUGGCUCACGGGUGCGUAACGCGUGGGAACCUGCCCUUAGGUUCGGAAUAACUCCCCGAAAGGGGUGCUAAUACCGGAUAAUUUCUUCGGACCAAAGAUUUAUCGCCUUUGGAUGGGCCCGCGUUGGAUUAGCUUGUUGGUAGGGUAAAAGCCUACCAAGGCGACGAUCCAUAGCUGGUCUGAGAGGAAGAUCAGCCACACUGGGACUGAGACACGGUGCAGACUCCUACGGGAGGCGGCAGUGGGGAAUAUUGGAAAAUCGGCGAAAGCCUGAUCCAGCAAUGCCGGGUGAGUGAUGAAGGCCUUAGGGUUGUAAAGCUCUUUUACCCGGGAUGAUAAUGACAGUACCGGGAGAAUAAGCUCCGGCUAACUCCGUG
RNAcentral lists this ribosomal RNA (433 nucleotides) under uncultured bacterium. RNAcentral's name for it is "partial 16S ribosomal RNA". It matches the Rfam family "Bacterial small subunit ribosomal RNA", at positions 29 to 507 of the family's 1533-position model. The record is from RNAcentral.